AUUGAACGCUGGCGGCAUGCUUUACACAUGCAAGUCGAACGGCAGCGCGGGGGCAACCCUGGCGGCGAGUGGCGAACGGGUGAGUAAUGCAUCGGAACGUAUCCUGUAAUGGGGGGAUAACGUAGCGAAAGUUACGCUAAUACCGCAUACGCUCGAGAGAGGAAAGUGGGGGAUCGCAAGACCUCACGUUAUAGGAGCGGCCGAUGUCCGAUUAGCUAGUUGGUGGGGUAAAGGCCUACCAAGGCGACGAUCGGUAGCUGGUCUGAGAGGAUGAUCAGCCACACUGGGACUGAGACACGGCCCAGACUCCUACGGGAGGCAGCAGUGGGGAAUAUUGGACAAUGGGCGAAAGCCUGAUCCAGCAAUGCCGCGUGGUGAAGACGGCCUGCGGGUUGUAAAGCCCUUUAGGUGGGGAGGAAAGGCGGACGGUGAACAGCGUUUCGCACUGACGUUACCCACGGAAUAAGCUACCGGCUAACUCCGUGCCAGCAGCCGUCGGAAACUGUACG
This 509-nucleotide ribosomal RNA is filed under the name uncultured bacterium. RNAcentral's name for it is "bacterial SSU rRNA". It matches the Rfam family "Bacterial small subunit ribosomal RNA", at positions 29 to 531 of the family's 1533-position model. The record is from RNAcentral.